UACGGGGGGAGCAAGCGUUGUUCGGAUUUACUGGGCGUAAAGAGCUCGUAGGCGGCCUGUCGCGUCGGAUGUGAAAGCCCGGGGCUUAACCCCGGGUCUGCAUUCGAUACGGGCAGGCUAGAGUGUGGUAGGGGAGAUCGGAAUUCCUGGUGUAGCGGUGAAAUGCGCAGAUAUCGGGAAGAACACCCGUGGCGAAGGCGGUUCUCUGGGACGGUACUGACGCUGAGACGCGAAAGCGUGGGGAGCGAACAGG
This 253-nucleotide ribosomal RNA is filed under the name uncultured bacterium. RNAcentral's name for it is "partial 16S ribosomal RNA". It matches the Rfam family "Bacterial small subunit ribosomal RNA", at positions 524 to 776 of the family's 1533-position model. The record is from RNAcentral.